Molecule: ribosomal RNA, 433 nt
Filed under: uncultured bacterium
Lineage: Bacteria
Description: partial 16S ribosomal RNA
Rfam family: Bacterial small subunit ribosomal RNA
Source: RNAcentral
AACGAACGCUGGCGACAUGCCUAACACAUGCAAGUCGAACGAUGCCUCCGGGCAUAGUGGCGCACGGGUGCGUAACGCGUGGGAAUCUGCCCUUGGGUUCGGAAUAACUCGCCGAAAGGCGAGCUAAUACCGGAUGAUGACGUAAGUCCAAAGAUUUAUCGCCCAAGGAUGAGCCCGCGUAGGAUUAGCUAGUUGGUGGGGUAAAGGCCCACCAAGGCGACGAUCCUUAGCUGGUCUGAGAGUAUGAUCAGCCACACUGGGACUGAGACACGGCCCAGACUCCUACGGGAGGCAGCAGUGGGGAAUAUUGGACAAUGGGCGAAAGCCUGAUCCAGCAAUGCCGCGUGAGUGAUGAAGGCCUUAGGGUUGUAAAGCUCUUUUACCCGGGAUGAUAAUGACAGUACCGGGAGAAUAAGCUCCGGCUAACUCCGUG